AGCCUGUUCCUGAUUACAUGGAAUUGGCUACACAGAUCUUGUUUUUGGCAAUCAACUCUAUUUGGGGCCAUUUUUGUGGUCAUGCCCAACCCUUCAUAUAUUUCCUGACCACUUCUUCCCAAGUUAUUUUUUGUCUACCACUUGGUCUUUUAACUCCUCUUAUUUGAAUCAUAUAGCUCCUUCUUACUGGUGCACUCAAAGGCCUCUAUUGCAAAUGACCGUACCACAUGAAACAUCUUUCCUUCAACUUACCUUCUAACAGAGCUACCCCUGUGUCACCUUGAAUUUCUCAUUUUUUAUUUGGCCUUUUCUAGCUUUUCCUCUCGUACAUCUCAACAUCCUCAUGUGCUUUCAGGAUCUGAGGUAUUUUGUAUUUUCAUGACUUCACCUCAGUAAUUUUGAUGGUUGGUUCUCAAUUGGCUCAAGUUGCCUCCCUCCACCUCUAUUGUACAAUGGAAGAAUUAUUUGCACAAGUUGCAUUAUUAA
This is a long non-coding RNA of Telopea speciosissima, 486 nucleotides long. RefSeq lists it as uncharacterized. NCBI's taxonomy places the organism in Eukaryota, Viridiplantae, Streptophyta, Magnoliopsida, Proteales, Proteaceae. The transcript has 3 exons. The record is from RefSeq and is a predicted model, not a curated record.